GUUGGCUGUGUGUUUUCUUGGUAUUUUUUGAAGCAUUUUAGCCCGAUAAUGUCAUCAUCAUCCCUUUUGCAUUGCGAAGCACAGCAGUCAUCCCUUGAAGAAAUCUGCUGCUGCUGCUGCGGCAUUGGCGUCGCGUGUUUUUGUGAUCCUGUCUCAUAAUGUAUUAUUUAUUUUUUUGCGCGCUUGUUUAAAGCAUCGAUUUUGCAUGGUCCAAAGGCGACAAGAAAGAGUUGUUAUAGUUUGUGUGUAUAGUACAAAAUUAUUGGUGUACUAGAGUCCCUACCCCUCAGAAAAAAAAAAGUGAAGCAAGCAAAAAAUAAUGUCGAGUGGGUAAUUGUUAUUUUGAGGCUUUGAAGUUUUGGAAAAGUUGAGGUCAAAGCGUGUCAUUGAAACAGAGAACGGUUAAGUUUUGGUUUUUGGUUCUUUACAUCUUCAGUAUGAUUAUUUAAACAGAAGUUGCCAGUUUUGCUUAUGGUGUUUUUUUUCAGUAUGACUGCAGGGAGGAGUGCUCAAACCUCCAUCUUUGGGAUAUGUCAAUUACAAUCAAGCUAAGUUCGCAUUAGCUUAUUUAUGGUGAGUUAUGAUUGUGUUCAUGAUGAAAUGGAAGUUCUUUUUCUUUUCUUUUCUUUUCUUUUUUGUUGAAGGUUUAUGGUUUUGAGUGUGGUGGAACCCAUUGGACAUUAUUUUAUGAAGUGGUCACAUGGCUUAAUAUUAGAGGUAUUUUCUAAUUAUAUUCAGUGUUAUUAGGGAAGAUUUAGAUUUUUUUUUACCCAACAUUUGAUGAUUAUAGUGAGAAUUUUUAAAUUAGGUUUGAAUCAGGUCCAAAUUUAAUGAUGGUUAUUACCUACGAGUUACAAAACUGAUUUUUUUUUUCUAUCAAGGAUUGGUGUUUUUCUUCCUAAUAACAACAAUAAGGUUAAAAUGUUGUUUUGUUUGUGUAUUUUGAAGAUUUUUUCAUUUUUAGUUCAAAUAUUUUUAAUUUUCACACUUUUCAACAACAUUAAAUUUGAGAAACUAAAUUUAACUGUGAUUUAUGCUCAAUCACGAGGUUAAGAGAACCCAAAUAAUAUUUACUUUUUGGUCCACUCUUUGAAGCUUCUUCAAUUCUUAGGUGAUCUUCGUCCUCAAUCGAAUUCAACUUCAUUGGAUCAUGUAGGUUGCAUCUUUGUUCAUCAUCUAGGCUUCUAGUAUUACGAUUCUUAUACUUCUACAUCCCUUUGGAACUUAAUCGAGAUGAGUUCAAACAUAAAAUUAAAUAAUACAACAUGGGAGUAUUGAUUUGAGAAGUUUUUUAAAACAGUGACGUACUAAAUUUAAGAUUAAUCGAUAUAAAAAGAAGUAGAGUGGCCAUUUUAUAGAAUGAUAUUUUAAUCUAAUAAUCUAAUAAUAAAUAAUAGUCGUAGUAAUAAUAAUAAUAAUUAUUGAUAUGUUUGCACUUCAAAAGCUUCCAAAAAUAUACCUUUACAAUUUAUGGAUAAAGCUAUUAAAUGAUAUUCCCUCUCCUAUUUAACAACUCCAUCAAUAAUAAAUUUCAAAUAGUUAUGAUAAAGAAAGUAUUAAGUUAAAACACAUUGUCAUAUCAUAUAAUAAGGAGACACAACUACGUCAUCUUUUUUAUAUAAAAAAAAAAUUAAGAAUUUGAUUUAAUUUUAUUAACAAAAGGAAAUAAUGUGACAUACUUUUUAAGAAAAGAGUAAUAAUAUAUAUUUUUAUAUAUAUAAAGAUUAUUUUAAUAAUGGAUGAUCAUUAUUGCAUUGCUACUUGCCUUGGUGAUUUGGAUGUUACAACAAUGACGACGUGCAAUAUGGGACACCAUUAUUUCCCUAUUUAUUCAUUUUCUUAAUCUCUUUUACUAAUUAUUAAAAAAAAUAAAAGUUAGGCUACUUUGUAAAUUCAAUCAAUGAUUUUUAAUAAUUCUUGUAUCUAUCGUAUUCAUAAGUUAGGGAAACAAAAUUAAUUUUUUUACCGUAAAAUUUUCCAAACUAAUAAUUAUAAGCAUUACAACGUCCAACUUUCAACCUCAAUUUAUCCUGAGGAUCAUAAUUUUUUUAAUUGAUUUCGAAUUUAUGUCGGAUGGUAACAUUUUAGAAUCUAUCUACCGGUACACUUCUUAUAAAAAAAAUGUAUUGUUUAAAAUUUUUGUUAUAUAUUAUAAAUAUUUUUUUUUAUUUGAGCGUAUAUUUAAAAGUAAAUCUAGUUAAAAGAUAGAAUAUAUUAAUUGAUCUUUAUUAGGAUUUAAUUAGUUUAGGAGUGUAGUAUGAUAUUUUUUAACAAGACAAAAGAUAGUCUCUCUCCAAUCUUUGUGUGAUCCUCAAACCUAUCUGUUAAAAAUACAUAAUGGUGUGCAUGCUCAUCACUUGAGUUGGAAUAACAUUAUUAAAUUUUAAUUUUCAAUCUUCAUUAAUAUUUGUUUUAUAGAAAUAUUGAACUUGAAUCGCUUUAUUUUAUUUUAAAUAUGUACGUAAAUAAUUAAAUAUAUAAGUUUAAUUUAGAGUGAGGUAUAAUUGUAACUUUUUAGGAAUUAUUUUGACCAACUUUCAAUCUUCAAUGUUUGAAACUUUUAUGUCUUGUACUUAACUACUGUACAAAUUAAUUUAAUUUAUGUUUGUAACUUUGUAUGACUUUUAUUUAUGGAUAAUGUUUAUAAAAGAGUUUGAUUCUAAUAUUUAUGCAUAAACGAUUCUGUUUCGAUUCCAUUUUAUUUGUACAUAAGUGGAUUUAAUUUCUAUUUGAUUUGACACAGAUGAAUGGUUUUUUGUAUUUUUUGGUUCGGUGCAGUUUUGGCUUCAAACGAACAAUGAACGUCUCUAAUUGCUGAUAUGUUGUAUUAUUUAUCGACUACGAGAAUUGAAUCUAAAUUUUGUUAUAUGUGCAAAUUCAAAUUUACUUUUGCAGUGGGUUAUAUUUGCUAAUAUUUUGUGUUAAUUGCUAUGUUUGCAACUUCUUUUUUUUAGUGAUCUCUUUCUCUCAUGUUCGUUGAUGCUAAACUAUUUUAACACACUCUCUUGUGUAAAUAUAAAAAGAAGUGUGAGGUCUUCGCUAUUUUUUCAACUUCUUAUCCUCUAAAUGGUUUUCUAUGUUUGUUUUAGGGGAUGUAAUAUAUUUUAGUUUGUCCGUCUUUCGUUAUUUUUUUAGUAUCUUUUGGUUUACUUAUAUUUCAACAGGAAGGGAGAAAUACAAAUUAUCGAAAAUAACCAAUUUGAAUAUAAUUGAGUGAAUAAGAUAUCAAUCAAUAUCAUUUCAAAUCGAUUACCUAUCUCAAAUUUGUAGAAAAGAAAAAUUGAAGAAGACAAAAUCAAUAACUAAUUUUGUAAUUUUUAAAAAAUAGAAUUAAGGGUGAGCAUGAUAACCAAAAAAAUCAACCAAUUCUAAGUUGGUCGAUUGGGAUCAGUUUUGAAAAGUCUGAAAUCGAAAAUUUUCAAAAAGUAUUUUUAAGUGUUAAACCGACCCAACCAAACAAAAAUCGACAAAAACCAACCGACCUUUACUCAUGAAUAUCGAGGUUGGUUUGAACAUUUAAUUAAACCAAUUAUGGUUAGUUCGGUGACGAUUUUGUCAAAAAAAAAAAAAACAACCCCGACCGAUAAUCACCUAGAUUAUAUGUAUAAGAAUGUUUUAUUUAGGUAACCAAUGCCACGUAGGUUGAGAAUAAAAUUUGUCUUGUCUUGAUUCUUGUUGGAAAAGCCACCAUUUUAUUUAUGUAAUUUUUUUUUUAAUUAAUGGUUAUUCUCAUUAUUUUAUUGCAUAGAUAUUCUCAAACUUCUUUCCUUAGGCCUCCAAGUGGCAUCAUUUUGUGCUUCCAUGACUUUCUCUCUCUAAUAUUUGACUUAGUUUCAUGAGAGAGAUACUUUGUAAUUACUUUCUUACCCUUCCUCCUUUAUUAUUGUUCCUACUCAUUCUUUAACCCUCAAAACAUAACUCUUUUUUGCCUUAACCUCACUUUUUCUCUACAAAAGUAUGAAUUAUUCAUUGGCAAAAGUGGAGUCAUAUAAUCAUUAUAAUUUGGCCAAUUUUGUUAGUACAACCCUAUUAUAAUUACCCUUAACUUCAACCUUUUAUCUACUAUCAAUAUGUUAUCGGAAAACAAAGAUUCUUUUUCUUCCAUGAAGUCAACUAGAAAGAAGAGUUUCAAUCUAUUAUUGAAAGUAGUUGGUUUAAAACUAUUGAUUUUGGUUACUUCAACUUUCUUCUAUGGAAUAUGAAUACAUUUGAUCCAUAAAAAAUGUUAAUUUUUAAUCAUCAUUGUUUGAUUUUUUGUAUACCAAUACAUCGGUUUGACUUUUCUUUUCCAUAAGAACUGUAGUCAUAUUUGUUGUUUUUCUAGAAUGAAUCUCUAUUUUAUUGAUAAUUUAGUAGGGGUAUAAACCUAAAUAUACUCACGAGAGGAAUAUACUUAAGAAAAGAAUACUUCAAUACCCUCCCUCAAACUCAAGGUUCGAAUCACGAACUUGAGUUUGCUAAUAACUAAGAAAACUAGAAUAGAAUUAGAAACGCUGAGAGAACAAACAUAAAGAAACUAAAACAAAACUUAAGCAAAAUUGAUAUGAGCGAAACUGACCUAGAGGGUUAGUGGGUCUGAGCGUCGACGACAGUAUGAGUUUCACGGAUCUGGAUUGACAGGAGACAGACAGAUAGAUGGAACGACGUCGUCAUUCAUUGACGAGCGGUGGUUCUGAAGGUCAAAAGAGCAAAGAUGCAAAUAUGUGAGGGGAUUCGUUUGUAGAUCUAAACUGGUACAGAUCAGAUGUGAGCGAAGAUGCGACAAAUAUGUGGAUCGAAAGGGCAACGGCGGAUUGGAGGGGCGACAACAAAUCUGAGAAAAGAAGAAGCGGCGACGAGUUGUAGAUUUAAAGGCGUGGAUGGCAGAUCUGACGGCAUAAGGUUUUUGAAACAUAUGGACAAUGACUAUACAAUAGAAAAUUCAGGAUGGUUUGCUUCCAUCAACGAAUGAUCAACUAAGGCAGACAAACGGGAUGCAAUGGCUAGACUACAAUGAGACCAAG
Molecule: long non-coding RNA, 5003 nt
Filed under: Cucumis sativus (cucumber)
Lineage: Eukaryota; Viridiplantae; Streptophyta; Magnoliopsida; Cucurbitales; Cucurbitaceae
Description: long non-coding RNA (CSAT_LNC001487)
Source: RNAcentral